UACGUAGGGGGCAAGCGUUGUCCGGAUUUACUGGGUGUAAAGGGCGCGUAGGUGGGUUUGUAAGUCAGAGGUGAAAUCCUGCAGCUUAACUGUAGAACUGCCUCUGAUACUGCAAAUCUUGAGUUCAGAAGAGAGAAGCGGAAUUCCAGGUGUAGUAGUGAAAUACGUAGAUAUCUGGAAGAACACCAGUGGCGAAGGCGGCUUCUUGGUCUGUAACUGACACUGAGGCGCGAAAGCGUGGGGAGCAAACAGG
Molecule: ribosomal RNA, 253 nt
Filed under: uncultured bacterium
Lineage: Bacteria
Description: partial 16S ribosomal RNA
Rfam family: Bacterial small subunit ribosomal RNA
Source: RNAcentral